This 253-nucleotide ribosomal RNA is filed under the name uncultured bacterium. RNAcentral describes it as "partial 16S ribosomal RNA". It matches the Rfam family "Bacterial small subunit ribosomal RNA", at positions 524 to 776 of the family's 1533-position model. The record is from RNAcentral.
UACGGAGGGUGCAAGCGUUAUCCGGAUUUACUGGGUUUAAAGGGUGCGUAGGUGGGUUGGUAAGUCAGUGGUGAAAUCUUCGAGCUUAACUCGGAAACUGCCAUUGAUACUAUCAAUCUUGAAUUAUCUGGAGGUAAGCGGAAUAUGUCAUGUAGCGGUGAAAUGCUUAGAUAUGACAUAGAACACCGAUAGCGAAGGCAGCUUGCUACACAGUCAUUGACACUGAGGCACGAAAGCGUGGGGAGCAAACAGG